UCGCGAUAACUCCCCACACAAAUGUCUCUGUGUUUGAGUUCCACAAAAGUAGGGGCUGAGAUAAGANCCCGUCCCGCCCCCGCCGCCGCCGCGGGCGCGCGCGUGUCAGGCGCCUCUGCAGCCGCCAUUUUGGAGUGAGUCGGCCUGAGCCCCGAGCCCGCGGGAGCCGGCGAGGCCUGCGGCGGCAGGGGCGGGGGCGGGGAGCCGCGGAGCGCCCAGAGCGCCCAGAGCCCGGCGCCGAGGCCGAGGCGCAGCAAUCUAAGAACCAGUGGAUUUGGCAGGGUGAUCAACAGAACCAGGGGAAUGUGGUGCCUUAGACUGGUUGGUUUAAGGCACAGAGGCUGGAGAGAAAUCUUUCAUUGAGUGCACACUCUCACAAAAUCACUCAAAUGUUUCUUUGCUUGAGAACAGGAUUUCAUCUUUGAAAGAAGAAGUUUCUCCGGAAGGUAUGAGUAUUUCCCUAAGCCUUCCAUGCUUGGCUGUUUUACUAUAUGAAGUUCAGCAUGGCAGCACCAUGGCAUGUUGGGCACACAACAAUCUACUGCCUGGAUUGGUGACAUUUUGAAAAAUUGAAGUUAUUUUGGUAUUUUUUUGGCCAUAUUUAAUUCAGUGCUAUGUGAGACCAUCUUUGAGAGGCAGCAGAGUGUAGUGGACAUGGAAUUAGAAGACUUGUUUUCACUUCUGCUGGGCAUUUCUGCUAGUCAGUUCACCAUCUUGAGUCCUGGCCACUGGCCACUUCAGAUUUGUUCUGCUGAGCUCAGGAUACUGGUUGGAAGGCUUUGAAGUGCUUCGGAAAGAUGAAUUAGAGCUGUUUAUCUCAAUCAUGUGGUUUUGUCAUACCUGGUCAAGCAAAA
RNAcentral lists this long non-coding RNA (854 nucleotides) under Monodelphis domestica (gray short-tailed opossum). RNAcentral describes it as "lncRNA (ENSMODG00000039211.1)". The record is from RNAcentral. Lineage: Eukaryota; Metazoa; Chordata; Mammalia; Didelphimorphia; Didelphidae.